RNAcentral lists this ribosomal RNA (1100 nucleotides) under Enterococcus hirae. RNAcentral's name for it is "bacterial SSU rRNA". It matches the Rfam family "Bacterial small subunit ribosomal RNA", at positions 40 to 1114 of the family's 1533-position model. Lineage: Bacteria; Bacillati; Bacillota; Bacilli; Lactobacillales; Enterococcaceae. The record is from RNAcentral.
CGGCGUGCUAUACAUGCAGUCGAACGCUUUUUCUUUCACCGGAGCUUGCUCCACCGAAAGAAAAGGAGUGGCGAACGGGUGAGUAACACGUGGGUAACCUGCCCAUCAGAAGGGGAUAACACUUGGAAACAGGUGCUAAUACCGUAUAACAAUCGAAACCGCAUGGUUUCGGUUUGAAAGGCGCUUUUGCGUCACUGAUGGAUGGACCCGCGGUGCAUUAGCUAGUUGGUGAGGUAACGGCUCACCAAGGCAACGAUGCAUAGCCGACCUGAGAGGGUGAUCGGCCACAUUGGGACUGAGACACGGCCCAAACUCCUACGGGAGGCAGCAGUAGGGAAUCUUCGGCAAUGGACGSAAGUCUGACCGAGCAACGCCGCGUGAGUGAAGAAGGUUUUCGGAUCGUAAAACUCUGUUGUUAGAGAAGAACAAGGAUGAGAGUAGAAUGUUCAUCCCUUGACGGUAUCUAACCAGAAAGCCACGGCUAACUACGUGCCAGCAGCCGCGGUAAUACGUAGGUGGCAAGCGUUGUCCGGAUUUAUUGGGCGUAAAGCGAGCGCAGGCGGUUUCUUAAGUCUGAUGUGAAAGCCCCCGGCUCAACCGGGGAGGGUCAUUGGAAACUGGGAAACUUGAGUGCAGAAGAGGAGAGUGGAAUUCCAUGUGUAGCGGUGAAAUGCGUAGAUAUAUGGAGGAACACCAGUGGCGAAGGCGGCUCUCUGGUCUGUAACUGACGCUGAGGCUCGAAAGCGUGGGGAGCAAACAGGAUUAGAUACCCUGGUAGUCCACGCCGUAAACGAUGAGUGCUAAGUGUUGGAGGGUUUCCGCCCUUCAGUGCUGCAGCUAACGCAUUAAGCACUCCGCCUGGGGAGUACGACCGCAAGGUUGAAACUCAAAGGAAUUGACGGGGGCCCGCACAAGCGGUGGAGCAUGUGGUUUAAUUCGAAGCAACGCGAAGAACCUUACCAGGUCUUGACAUCCUUUGACCACUCUAGAGAUAGAGCUUCCCCUUCGGGGGCAAAGUGACAGGUGGUGCAUGGUUGUCGUCAGCUCGUGUCGUGAGAUGUUGGGUUAAGUCCCGCAACGAGCGCAACCCUUAUUGUUAG